GCCCGUGGUGUAAUGGUCAGCACACUGAGCCGGUAUUUCAGAGGUCCGCGGUUCGAUUCCCGGCGAAGGCG
RNAcentral lists this transfer RNA (71 nucleotides) under Stegodyphus mimosarum. It matches the Rfam family "tRNA". From Rfam's summary of the family: Transfer RNA (tRNA) molecules are approximately 80 nucleotides in length. The record is from Rfam by way of RNAcentral. Lineage: Eukaryota; Metazoa; Arthropoda; Arachnida; Araneae; Eresidae.